Molecule: ribosomal RNA, 482 nt
Filed under: uncultured bacterium
Lineage: Bacteria
Description: partial 16S ribosomal RNA
Rfam family: Bacterial small subunit ribosomal RNA
Source: RNAcentral
AUUGAACGCUGGCGGCAUGCCUUACACAUGCAAAUCGAACGGUAACGGGCCUUCGGGUGCCGACGAGUGGCGAACGGGUGAGUAAUACAUCGGAACGUGCCCGAUCGUGGGGGAUAACGAGGCGAAAGCUUUGCUAAUACCGCAUACGAUCUACGGAUGAAAGCAGGGGACCGCAAGGCCUUGCGCGGACGGAGCGGCCGAUGGCAGAUUAGGUAGUUGGUGGGAUAAAAGCUUACCAAGCCGACGAUCUGUAGCUGGUCUGAGAGGAUGAUCAGCCACACUGGGACUGAGACACGGCCCAGACUCCUACGGGAGGCAGCAGUGGGGAAUUUUGGACAAUGGGCGCAAGCCUGAUCCAGCCAUGCCGCGUGCAGGAUGAAGGCCUUCGGGUUGUAAACUGAUUUUGUACGGAACGAAAAGCCUUCUUUUAAUACAGGAGGGUCAUGACGGUACCGUAAGAAUAAGCACCGACUAACUACGUG